RNAcentral lists this long non-coding RNA (423 nucleotides) under Cicer arietinum (chickpea). RNAcentral describes it as "long non-coding RNA (CARI_LNC002383)". Lineage: Eukaryota; Viridiplantae; Streptophyta; Magnoliopsida; Fabales; Fabaceae. The record is from RNAcentral.
AUACACAGGCCAUGAGAAAAACAUUUCCCUAGUUAUUUCUUUUUGUUCAUUAAAAAGUCUCUGACUAUUAUUGUUCUUAAAAACACAAGUUGACUUUUGGCUGGAUGAAAAAGAAAGGGCGUAAUUUGAGAGUUAGAUACUUGUUGAUGUUGAGGGUGGUCAUGGUGUCAAGGUAUUUAAUUUUGAGAGAUGAAAAUGAUUUAUUGGGUUAGAUACUUGCAAACUCUAAGAGUGCAACUCUACAAUAUGAAGUUGAUGCAUGCCUUUUCAUAUUUCUUGCUAUGUGUGUACUAUAUUUAGAGUUUUAAUUUUUUAUAUAUGCUUGUUAAAGAAUUUCAUUCCUCUUACCUAUACACGAAUUGUUUGAUUGUGGUAUUAUAUGGUCUCAAGUGAGUUAAUUGUUUAAUCAUUAUUGUUUGAUUG